UACGAAGGGGACUAGCGUUGUUCGGAAUCACUGGGCGUAAAGCGCACGUAGGCGGAUAUGUCAGUCAGGGGUGAAAUCCCGGGGCUCAACCUCGGAACUGCCUUUGAUACAGCAUAUCUUGAGUCCGAUAGAGGUGGGUGGAAUUCCUAGUGUAGAGGUGAAAUUCGUAGAUAUUAGGAAGAACACCGGUGGCGAAGGCGGCUCACUGGCCCGUUACCGACGCUCAGGCGCGACAGCGUGGGGAGCAAACAGG
This 253-nucleotide ribosomal RNA is filed under the name uncultured bacterium. RNAcentral's name for it is "partial 16S ribosomal RNA". It matches the Rfam family "Bacterial small subunit ribosomal RNA", at positions 524 to 776 of the family's 1533-position model. The record is from RNAcentral.